CUGAAAUUGUGACCGUGUAGUCUGGAAACCCUCUCGCCUCUAAGCCUCCCGCCGCGCACACACACCCUCUCGGCCUCUCCGGCUCGGUCGUCGCCGCUCUCACCCUCUGCGCGGCACGAUGGCAGGCCUCCCGACCCUCUCUCCUCUCGGUCUGGGCGCCUCUUCUUCCACAGCUCAGGCGCGAAGCAACAACUGAAAUAAAAUUUCACCGGAAAAGCUUGAAAUAGCGGCGGCGCCAAGCAACCCGACGCUGUCGUCUCCGGCUCACCGGCAUUGUUCAACUGUUCAAAAAAAUUAGGGCUGUUAGCGCUGGCCUCAUGAUUUCUCAACGUUGUGAUGCGAUGGUCGUCGGAAAUUUGUACUAGCUCAACGACUUGAAACUGUUCGACGAAAUCUCUCACCGAGAAACCGAGGAAGAAAAACAAGGAAAAUGGGUACAAAGUCGAUGGUGAAGUGGCCGAAGCAAAUCACGUCGUCUCUCGUGGAGCGGCUGUUGUCAGCGGAGAAAGACUUGGACAGAGCAAUCUCCGUCUUCGAAUCGGCCACCGCCGAAUAUUCCAACGGCUUUCACCACGAUCAAACCACAUUCGGCCUCAUGAUCCGGCGACUGCUCUCUGCCAACAAGUUCGUUUUCGCGGAGGAAAUGCUCGCCCGAAUGAAGCAAGAGAAGUGCGACGUAAACGAAGAUAUAUUCCUCUCCAUUUACAGGGCAUACGGCAGAGUUCACAAGCCCCUCGAAGUAGUUAGGGUUUUCAGAAAGAUGAAGGAGUUUGAAUGCAAACCGACGGCGAGAUCUUAUAUAACAGUCUUCUCCAUUCUAGUUGACGAAAGCCACUUGAAAAUGGCGUUCACGUUUUACCGUUACAUGAGGAAGCAGGGCAUUCCGGCAAGCGUUCCCUCGCUUAAUGUUCUGAUCAAGGCACUCUGCAAGAGCAGUGGAACUAUGGAUUCAGCUUUUCAGAUUUUCAAGGAGAUGCCGAAGCGUGGCCACACUCCCGAUUCAUACACUUAUGGGACCUUGAUCAAUGGGCUGUGCAGAGGUGGCAGGAUUCUCGAGGCCAAGGAGCUUCUCAUUGACAUGGAGGCGAAUGGCUGUGCGCCCUCGGUUUUCACCUACAGCUGCCUGAUACAUGGCUUCUGCCAGUCGAACAAACUGACUGAUGCAAUGGAGCUUUUCAAGGAGAUGAAGACCAAAGGGGUGGACCCUAAUGUGUACACUUACAGCUCUCUCAUUGAUGGCCUUUGCAAGAAUGGGCAUUCGUUGCAGGCCAUCGAGCUGUUGGAGAGGAUGACGAGGAAAGGCUUAGCUCCAAACUCCAUCACUUACAGUUCUCUGAUGCAUGGGCUCUGCAAGGAGGGUAAAAUCCAAGAGGCUGUUCAGAUUCUUGAUAGAAUGAAGCUUCAAGACUUGAAGCCUGAUGCAGGGUUGUACUCGAAAGUAAUCAAUGGCUUCUGUGAGGCGGGCAAGUUCAAGGAGGCGGCCAAUUUCCUGGAUGAAAUGGCUCUUUCGGGGAUAACACCUAAUCGAGUAACCUGGGGACUUCAUGUUCGAAUUCAUAAUAGAGUGGUUCAAGGACUUUGUAGCUUGAGUAACCAUAGUCAAGCUUUUCCGCUCUACCUGAGCUUGCGUAGUAGAGGCAUAUCGGUUGAGGCGAGAACCUUUGAAUGUCUUAUACAAUGCAGCUGCAAGAAGGGAGAUCUGCACGAGGCUGCUCGGGUUCUGGAGGAGAUGGUUAUUGAUGGAUGCAUUCCUGAUGAGGAAAUAUGGAAUGGCAUGCUGGUUGGGUUCUGGGAUAGAAGGAAAGUUCGUGAAGCUUCUGAGCUGUUGAAGGCUAAGCUGAUCGAUGAGUUGCAGACGGACCUCAACAAGUCUAUAUGACCAUCUGCACCUUCAUGCCAAUCCAGGUUUCUCACUUCACUACUGAAAAAUGACUUUUCAUCUAGAGCUAGAUUGCCUUAGAUUUUUCGCAAAUAAGAUUUUUAACUUAAUUUUUCAAUGUAAUGGGUAUUAAUAUCAUCUUAAUUUUUCAAUGUAAUGGGAAUUUUAUAUUUUACAUUUGCAAGUUUUAUAUAAUUAAAAUGAUAUGAUUUGUCACAUGAUCAAUUUGAAUUUUGUCACGCCAGAUUUAAUUUUGUACGCAAUUUUAGACAAGUAAUUUUUUUAUAUAUAUUUAGAGGUAGAAAAAAAAAGCUCAUGUACAAAAUUAAAUGCUCAAAGUUUAUGUAUUUUAGACAAGUAAUUUUUGUUAUGCUAUGCUUGAUUCAGAAUUACAUCUGGUAUUUGAAGUUGUGUUGGUACUAAUUUGGAUAUGUAUUGAAUUUGUCAAAAACUUGCUGAAAAGGGAGCCUUACAGUUUUACAACUUACAACUAAUACAAAUAUACAAUACAACAAUUCAAUUUGGUGAUUCAGGACCCAGACCCGAGCCUCACAUCUCCUUCCUUGGGUGAGUGAAAAGCCGUCGUUUUGAGGGGAGAACCACAAACAACGCAGCAGAUUACUCCAAUCCCAAGCAGCACUGCUGCGAAGGCGAGCUCCUCCUUCUCCGAGGGGUUAGGGUACAAGUACCUUACCACGUCCUGAUCAAAAACUGCAACCGCUGCUAACACCAACAACGCUUGAGCAUAAGUCGAUCAGCUCGAGCUUGUAGUAUCUGGCUGCAACCUGUUGUGGCAGCGGUCGAGUUGGCGAUCCAUCAACGAUCCACAAGCCACGAAAACGUUGCAAUACCAUAGUGUACACGUCUGUCUCUGUCCUUGAUGGUAACAUACAUGUGAUUCCACAGAGGGCUACGACCACUGAGGCCGGCUAUCGUGGCUCCUCAUCCUCGGUUUCAACAGCAUCGGGGUCACGAGCAAGGAGCCAGUGGGCAUAAGCUUGGCUACCGGUUCCCCGCUGUCUAAUGCCUCACCUAGCCAUUCUCGGAGGCCUUCUAUUUCCACAGACAUCAUAUAGUCUAGCAUUUUCUUUUCACUCUUCAGGUGGGUUCUUGGCAUUGGCACAUUUAUAGGAGAGGAAUUUAUUCAAUCACCUUCAAGAAUUAAUCACAUCCUCAUGCAACUAAUUAACUUGUUUUCUAUUGCUCAAGACGCAAGGCUUUGAACGUCAAAUUGGUUCUUGCAGUUUAGAUGUAUCUGAAAUCUUUUGAGACAUUUUUCUGUUGUAAAAAGAUUGGUGAGAUUCUAUGCUUUGUUAGUACUUGACGAGUUGUAUGGGAAGAUGAAAACUACUAUGUUGUGCUUGUUUAUACCAUCAA
Salvia miltiorrhiza (redroot sage) is the source of this 3256-nucleotide RNA transcript. It is a transcript of the gene named pentatricopeptide repeat-containing protein At5g46100, with no coding region annotated. The record is from RefSeq and is a predicted model, not a curated record. The transcript is spliced from 2 exons. NCBI's taxonomy places the organism in Eukaryota, Viridiplantae, Streptophyta, Magnoliopsida, Lamiales, Lamiaceae.